This 2878-nucleotide ribosomal RNA is filed under the name Saprospiraceae bacterium. RNAcentral describes it as "23S ribosomal RNA". It matches the Rfam family "Bacterial large subunit ribosomal RNA". Lineage: Bacteria; Pseudomonadati; Bacteroidota; Saprospiria; Saprospirales; Saprospiraceae. The record is from RNAcentral.
CUGGAAGCUUAGAAGGGCGUACGGGGGAUGCCUUGGCUCUCGAAGGAGACGAAGGACGUGUUAAGCUGCGAAAAGCUGCGGGGAGUUGCAAGAGAACGUUAAUCCGCAGAUGUCCGAAUGGGGAAACCCGUCACGCUGAAGGCGUGACCGAACGUCAAACCUCCUGAACUGAAACAUCUAAGUAGGGAGAGGAAGAGAAAAUAAUAAUGAUUCCGUAAGUAGUGGCGAGCGAACGCGGAAGAGCCCAAACCUGUGUGUUUACACACAGGGGUUGUAGGACUGAUUGUCGUGUAUAAAUUCAAGUGGAAGAUGUCUGGAAAGUCAUGCGAUACAGGGUGAUAGCCCCGUACACGUAAAAAAUUUAUGCACAUUCAGUAUCCUGAGUAGGGCGGGGCUGGUGAAACCCUGUCUGAAUCUGCCGGCACCAUCCGGUAAGGCUAAAUACUCUCGAGAGACCGAUAGUGAACCAGUACUGUGAAGGAAAGGUGAAAAGAACCGCAAGAAGCGGAGUGCAAUAGACCCUGAAACCGUACGCCUACAAGCGGUGGGAGCGCGAUAAUAUCAAGUGACCACGUGCCUUUUGCAUAAUGAGCCUACGAGUUGUUACUCACUACCAAGUUUAAGGUCUUAAGGACUGGAGGCGCAGCGAAAGCGAGUCUGAAUAGGGCGAUAGGUAGUGGGUACAGACGCGAAACCGAGUGAUCUACCCUUGAGCAGGUUGAAGUCCCGAUAGUCUCGGGAUGGAGGACCGAACUGGUAAACGUUGAAAAGUUUUCGGAUGACUUGAGGGUAGGGGUGAAAGGCUAAUCAAACUCGGAGAUAGCUCGUACUCCCCGAAAUGCAUUUAGGUGCAGCGUCGUGGUGUGUAUGUUGGAGGUAAAGCUACCGAUAGGGCUAGGGGGUGUCACAGCCUACCAAACCCUGACGAACUCUGAAUGCCAACAUAUUUCAGCGGCAGUGAGCCCCGGGGUGCUAAGGUCACGGGGCGAGAGGGGAACAACCCAGACUUGCAGCUAAGGUCCCUAAGUUACAGUUAAGUUGAAUCUAACGAUGUGGAGAUGCAUAGACAGCCAGGAUGUUUGCUUGGAAGCAGCAAUUCAUUUAAAGAGUGCGUAACAGCUCACUGGUCGAGCGUUUCUGCGCGGAAAAUAAUCGGGCAUCAAACUGUACACCGAAGCUCAAGAAUUCGCAAGAAUUGGUAGGGGAGCAUUCAUGUCAGCUGCGAAGGUGUGUCGUGAGAGGUGCUGGAGCGACAUGAAAAGCAAAUGUAGGCAUAAGUAACGAUAAAUGAUGAGAGUAACAUCAUCGCCGUAAGACUAAGGGUUCCGGAACUAUGGUAAUCAGUUCCGGGUUAGUCGGGUCCUAAGGAUAACCCGAGAGGGGAUGCCGAUGGCAAACGGGUCAAUAUUCCCGUACUUGUAUAUAGUGCGAUGGGGUGACGGAGAAACGUAAGUGGUGCGAACUGACGGAAUAGUUCGUUGAAACGCGUAGGCUUUGAGAGUUGUAGUUAAAUGCGCAACUUGAGCUGAAACGUGAUAGUACCUGCAAUGCUUCGGCAAAGCGGGAUAAUCCACCCAAGUCGGCUUCCUAGAAAAACCUCUAAGCUUCAGCUAUAUACAACCCGUACCGCAAACCGACACAGGUAGUCGAGGAGAGCAUCCUCAGGCGCUCGAGUGAAUCGUGGCUAAGGAACUAGGCAAAUUGGUCUCGUAACUUCGGAAGAAGAGACGCUCCGCGAGGAGCCGCAGUGAAGAGGCCCAGGCAACUGUUUAACAAAAACACAGGACUCUGCUAAAUCGUAAGAUGACGUAUAGGGUCUGACACCUGCCCGGUGCUGGAAGGUUAAGGAAGGGGGUUAGCGCAAGCGAAGCUCUUGACUGAAGCCCCAGUAAACGGCGGCCGUAACUAUAACGGUCCUAAGGUAGCGAAAUUCCUUGUCGGGUAAGUUCCGACCUGCACGAAUGGUGUAAUGAUCUGGGCACUGUCUCAGCCACGAGCUCGGUGAAAUUGAAGCAUCGGUGAAGAUACCGAUUACCCGCACUGGGACGGAAAGACCCCGUGAACCUUUACUAUAGCUUCACGUUGAGCUUGGAUGCAAGAUGUGUAGGAUAGGUGGGAGCAGAUGAAAUGGUCACGCUAGUGGCUGUGGAUGCGUCGUUGAAAUACCACCCUUUUUGCAUUUAGGUUCUAACUCCUCAACAGGAGAACAGCGUGUGGUGGGUAGUUUGACUGGGGUGGUCGCCUCCAAAAGAGUAACGGAGGCUCGCAAAGGUGCCCUCAGCAUGGUUGGUAAUCAUGCGCAGAGCGUAUUAGUAUAAGGGCGCUUGACUGUGAGAGCGACGGCUCGAACAGGUACGAAAGUAGGCUAAAGUGAUCCGGUGGUUCCGAAUGGAAGGGCCAUCGCUCAAAGGAUAAAAGGUACUCCGGGGAUAACAGGCUGAUCGCAUCCAAGAGCUCAUAUCGACGAUGCGGUUUGGCACCUCGAUGUCGGCUCGUCACAUCCUGGGGCUGGAGAAGGUCCCAAGGGUUGGGCUGUUCGCCCAUUAAAGUGGCACGCGAGCUGGGUUCAGAACGUCGCAAGACAGUUCGGUCCCUAUCUAGUGUGGGCGUAGGAAUAUUGAGAAGAGCUGUCUCUAGUACGAGAGGACCGAGAUGGACGAACCGCUAGUGUAUCUGUUGUGUUGCCCAAUGCAGUGCAGAGUAGCUAUGUUCGGACGGGAUAAGUGCUGAAAGCAUCUAAGCACGAAGCCUCCUUCAAGAUGAGUAUUCCACCCGUUAUGGGAAAGGGCUGUAGAAGAUGACUACGUUGAUAGGUUACAGGUGUAAGCAUAGUGAUAUGUUCAGCCGAGUAAUACUAAUUGCCCGAUAGCUUCCUUUU